Molecule: ribosomal RNA, 122 nt
Organism: Erinaceus europaeus (western European hedgehog)
Lineage: Eukaryota; Metazoa; Chordata; Mammalia; Eulipotyphla; Erinaceidae
Source: Ensembl
GUCUAUGGCCAUACCACCCUGAACACACACACCCAAUCUCAUCUGAUAUCGGAAGCUAAGCAGGGUCGGGCCUGGUUAGUACUGGAUGGGAGAAAUUAAUUUGUACUGGGUGUCACUUUACA